GGCGAACUGUCUGUGUAUGAACUUCAGCGACUUGAACAUGAGAGAGAAGGUUUUUUUGUCAUCUUUGAAGAUUUCACAAGCAUGUGGACAUGCAGCAGAGGAUCUCCGGACUCGGGAUGCAAGUGAGGCCAAAGCAAGAUAAUGAAGACCUUGAAUGCAGACAGGCCUAGGCAGACACUGCUGAGAAGACCAUGGGCAUCUACACAGUCCGGACAGAGGGUGAUGGUCUAGGUGAUGCAUGUUUUGAAGAUGUCUGUGUGGCACUGGACGGUGUGAGUUCUCCAGAGCCUGCGGAGUGUCGGCCAUGCAUGUGUUGGGCUUUAUGAACGAAUCUAUGCACCAACUUGAGCUAUCCAAAAAGACUGCGAAAUAUACAUACAUUUGAGGGUUACCAGAAAGUUCUGAUGGACCUGUACUCAAGCAAGCUUGAAAUAGCUCCUGUGAUUCAGUGGCAUACACGCCUGUUAGACUCUCACUUCGCUUCCGCUCACACUGCCGCAGUGGCAUUGGUUGUGACCCGUAGAUGGUCGACCAGGGGAAAAAAACUAUAAAACUCAUGAUAUUUUUGUCUUCGACCAAGUGGUCAGUGUGGAGGAGUUUGAGGUUUUUUUUUUUUUUUUUAAUCCAUGUCUGCUGUCGGCCACAUACACACAACUGUUGCCCACACACCAGCGGCCUAUACUACAAAACUGGUUCAGGAUACGUUAAGGUUAAGUUGAG
Engraulis encrasicolus (European anchovy) is the source of this 720-nucleotide long non-coding RNA. RefSeq lists it as uncharacterized. The transcript is spliced from 3 exons. The record is from RefSeq and is a predicted model, not a curated record. NCBI's taxonomy places the organism in Eukaryota, Metazoa, Chordata, Actinopteri, Clupeiformes, Engraulidae.